UGCCAGCCGCCGCGGUAAUACAUAGGGGUCAAGCGUUGUCCGGAUUUAUUGGGCGUAAAGAGCUCGUAGGCGGAUUGGAAAGUUAGAGGUGAAAUCCCAGGGCUCAACCCUGGAACUGCCUUUAAAACUGUUAGUCUUGAGAUCGAGAGAGGUGAGUGGAAUUCCAAGUGUAGAGGUGAAAUUCGUAGAUAUUUGGAGGAACACCAGUGGCGAAGGCGGCUCACUGGCUCGAUACUGACGCUGAGGUACGAAAGUGUGGGGAGCAAACAGGAUUAGAUA
This 279-nucleotide ribosomal RNA is filed under the name uncultured bacterium. Its description in RNAcentral is "partial 16S ribosomal RNA". It matches the Rfam family "Bacterial small subunit ribosomal RNA", at positions 506 to 784 of the family's 1533-position model. The record is from RNAcentral.